GUAGGUGGCAAGCGUUGUCCGGAAUUAUUGGGCGUAAAGCGCGCGCAGGUGGUUCUUUAAGUCUGAUGUGAAAGCCCCCGGCUCAACCGGGGAGGGUCAUUGGAAACUGGGGAACUUGAGUGCAGGAGAGGAAAGUGGAAUUCCACGUGUAGCGGUGAAAUGCGUAGAUAUGUGGAGGAACACCAGUGGCGAAGGCGACUUUCUGGCCUGUAACUGACACUGAGCCGCGAAAGCGUGGGGAGCAAACAGGGAUUAGAUACCCUGGUAGUCCACGCCGUAAACGAUGAGUGCUAAGUGUUGGGGGGGUUUCCCGCCCCUCAGUGCUGCAGCUAACGCAUUAAGCACUCCGCCUGGGGAUACGGUCGCAAGACUG
Molecule: ribosomal RNA, 373 nt
Filed under: uncultured organism
Description: partial 16S ribosomal RNA
Rfam family: Bacterial small subunit ribosomal RNA
Source: RNAcentral